RNAcentral lists this ribosomal RNA (1348 nucleotides) under Helicobacter pylori NQ4216. RNAcentral describes it as "partial 16S ribosomal RNA". The stretch from base 1 to 260 matches the Rfam family "Bacterial small subunit ribosomal RNA", at positions 1269 to 1533 of the family's 1533-position model. The record is from RNAcentral. Lineage: Bacteria; Pseudomonadati; Campylobacterota; Epsilonproteobacteria; Campylobacterales; Helicobacteraceae.
CAAUCUUCAAAACACCUCUCAAGUUCGGAUUGUAGGCUGCAACUCGCCUGCAUGAAGCUGGAAUCGCUAGUAAUCGCAAAUCAGCCAUGUUGCGGUGAAUACGUUCCCGGGUCUUGUACUCACCGCCCGUCACACCAUGGGAGUUGUGUUUGCCUUAAGUCAGGAUGCUAAAUUAGCUACUGCCCACGGCACACACAGCGACUGGGGUGAAGUCGUAACAAGGUAACCGUAGGUGAACCUGCGGUUGGAUCACCUCCUUUCUAGAGAAAAGCUUUUAACAUUCGCUUGUUAAAAGCCAAAGAGUAUUACCUGACAAAAGGACUUCUUGUUGCUUAGUUUUGAAAGAUUGAGCUUAUUCUUUCUUUUUUAAAUCUUGGUUUUUAUUUGGUUUUUGCUUAAACUUUUUCAUUCUUGUUUUUAAUAUUUCUUGCUCGCUUGUAUUGGAUUUCUUAAAUCUUACUUCUUGUUUUUUUCCAUUUUUGUUUUUUACUUAUUGCGUUUUAAUUCUUAUGUUUAACUUUUUGUUUUUUUACGCUUUAAUAUUAAAGUUUUAGUUUUGGUGUUUUGCUUCUUGUUUCUUUGUGUUCUUAAGGUUUUUUACUGCUUAUAAUUUUUGUUUGUUGUUUCACCUUGUUUUUUGCUUGCUUGAUUUUGAUUUGAUUGUGUUUCGUGUUUUAUUUUUCUUAAAUCUUCAUUUCUUUUGUUUGAGUGUUGGUUUUAGUGUUGGAUUUUCUCAAUUCUUAUGUUUGUAUUUUUUGGUUCUUGUUUCUUUGUGUUCUUAAGGUUUUUUACUGCUUGUGGUUUGUGGUUGUUGUGUUGGAGUUUUACUUGUUACUUCUUGGGUUUUAAUUUCUUAUUCCUUACUUAUUGCGUUUUGAUUCUUAUGUUUUAAUGUUUGGUUUCAUAUUUUAGUUUUUCUUGCUUCUUAAUGUUUAGUGGGUUCGUUAUUUUUAAGGGGGUUUAGUGGGGUUUGGUCGUUGGGUUUUAUUCUCUUAAGCCUUAUCUUUAUCUCAUGAUUGCAAUUCUUGCUUAUUUUUGAUUUGCUUGUUUUUGAUUUCUUGCGUGUUAAGUUUUAUUUUUUGUGAAAUACAUAUAAGGGAGUGGUUAUUUUAAUUUUUUAACGCCCUGUAUUUCUAGAGUUUUAAACGCUCAAGGAUUUGGGUUUUAAUUUCUUUCGGAUCUAAUUGAACAAGUUGUUGGUAUUCAAAAUUGCGUGCUUGAAAAUCAAUGCAAUGCAAUAAUUCAAAAAUAAUAGAAUCGUUUUCAUAGGGGGCAACUAGGUGCAUGCCUGAAUAAUGGAAUUGAGUGCAAGAAAGCGCAAUAAAUACGCUGUAGGGUUUUAAUAGGG